UGGCUCGGUUGCUUCUUACCGUCCUCGUUACACUCUUUCUUCUCAGGGGCAACCUAGUCGCCGGUGAUCAUUGCCGCCCCAGAUAUUGUAAGUACCCGCUUGAUCGAUUCGGUUCAAUUCCAGCGGUUCUCUUUUCUAAGUAUCGGCAGCUUUCUCUUCGAGCUUGUAACACUACGAUUAUUACACAUUCUUACCACUGUAUUAUUCUCUUCUCUAACAUUUUUUAUACGUUUUCCAGUAAAAGGCGCAGCCAGUCCAUCAGUUAAAGGCGUAGUCAGUCCAUCCGUUAAAGGCGCAGUUAGUCCACCUAGUCCACUUAACCCGGUACCCUGCCCAAUAAUGUACCCUACAUACAAAAAAGCUAAACCUAUGGGCGAGCUACAAAAGGGCUACGGACCUUUCCAUCCUUGAAUAAUCUGCCUCCCUGAAUUUCACUGGGUGGAGCCCGCUCCCUUCCAUUUUCCAAUCAAAAUUUCCCACAUCAGUUCAUGUGUAAGGUGCGUAAUAUUCCGUCCGUGGAUGUAGCGUUACUCCCCUCCAUAGCCUAAAGCAUCAUCUCAGCAGCGACAACAUGUGGAUAAGCUG
RNAcentral lists this long non-coding RNA (585 nucleotides) under Triticum aestivum (bread wheat). Its description in RNAcentral is "long non-coding RNA (TAES_LNC016526)". Lineage: Eukaryota; Viridiplantae; Streptophyta; Magnoliopsida; Poales; Poaceae. The record is from RNAcentral.